This 499-nucleotide long non-coding RNA is filed under the name Homo sapiens (human). Its description in RNAcentral is "non-protein coding lnc-WDR44-4:1". The record is from RNAcentral. Lineage: Eukaryota; Metazoa; Chordata; Mammalia; Primates; Hominidae.
AUGCCACCUAAGUUCAACCCCAAUGAGAUCUAAGUCAUAUACAUGAGGUGCACUAGUAAUGAAGUCGGUGACACAUCUGCCCUGGCUCCCAAGAUCAGCACCCUGGAUCUGUCUCCAGAAAAAGGCUGGAUAUGACAUCACCAAGGGAACUGGUGACCGGAAGGGUCUGAGGAUUACAGUGAAACUGACCAUCAGAAGAGACAGGCCCAGACUGAGGCAGUACCUUCUGUCUCUGCCCUGGUCAUCGAAGCCCUCAAGGGACCAGCAAAAGACAGAAAGAAACAAAAAGCAUUAGACACAAUGGAAAUAUCACUUUUGAUGAGAUUAUCAACUUGCUGGACAGGUGUGGCACUGAUCUUUAGCCAGAGAACUCUCUGGUACCAUUAAAGAGAUCCUGGGGACUUCCCAAUCUGUGGGCUGCAAUGUUGAUGGCCGCCACCACUGUCAUGACAUCAUAGAGGACAUCAACAGUGGUACAGUGGAAUGCCCAGCUAGUUAA